UCAGCCCGUGGCCGGGGAGCAGCCCGGUGUGCCCGGGCGGGGUCGUGCCCCCGUCGUGCCAGCCCCCGGAUGGUUCCGGCCGGGCUGGG
Molecule: transfer RNA, 89 nt
Filed under: Amycolatopsis taiwanensis
Lineage: Bacteria; Bacillati; Actinomycetota; Actinomycetes; Pseudonocardiales; Pseudonocardiaceae
Description: tRNA-His
Source: RNAcentral